RNAcentral lists this ribosomal RNA (657 nucleotides) under uncultured marine group I thaumarchaeote. RNAcentral describes it as "bacterial SSU rRNA". It matches the Rfam family "Archaeal small subunit ribosomal RNA", at positions 1 to 665 of the family's 1478-position model. The record is from RNAcentral. Lineage: Archaea; Thermoproteati; Nitrososphaerota.
UUCCGGUUGAUCCUGCCGGACCUGACUGCUAUCGGAUUGAUACUAAGCCAUGCUAGUCUUUGUAGUAAUACCAGGCAUACGGCUCAGUAACGCGUAGUCAACUUACCCUAUGGACGGGGAUAAUCUCGGGAAACUGAGCAUAAUACCCGGCAGACCACUUAUCCUGGAAUGGUUAGUGGUUAAAAUGAUUCGUCGCCAUAGGAUGGGACUGCGGCCUAUCAGCUUGUUGGUGAGGUAGUGGCCCACCAAGGCGAUUACAGGUACGGGCUCUGAGAGGAGAGGCCCGGAGAUGGGUACUGAGACAAGGACCCAGGCCCUAUGGGGCGCAGCAGGCGAGAAAACUUUGCAAUGUGCGAAAGCACGACAAGGUUAAUCCGAGUGAUUUCUGCUAAAGGUAUCUUUUGUUAGUCCUAAAAAUACUAGUGAAUAAGGGGUGGGCAAGUUCUGGUGUCAGCCGCCGCGGUAAAACCAGCACCUCAAGUGGUCAGGAGGAUUAUUGGGCCUAAAGCAUCCGUAGCCUGUUCUAUAAGUUUGCGGUUAAAUCUAUACGCUCAACGUAUAGGCUGCCGAAAAUACUGUAGAACUAGGGAGUGGGAGAGGUAGACGGUACUCGAUAGGAAGGGGUAAAAUCCUUUGAUCUAUUGAUGACCACCUGUG